RNAcentral lists this ribosomal RNA (459 nucleotides) under uncultured bacterium. RNAcentral's name for it is "partial 16S ribosomal RNA". It matches the Rfam family "Bacterial small subunit ribosomal RNA", at positions 339 to 795 of the family's 1533-position model. The record is from RNAcentral.
CUACGGGGGGCAGCAGUGAGGAAUAUUGGUCAAUGGGCGAGAGCCUGAACCAGCCAUCCCGCGUGCAGGAUGACGGCCCUAUGGGUUGUAAACUGCUUUUCUACUAGAAGAAACCUGAUUACGUGUAAUCAGUUGCCGGUAUAGUAGGAAUAAGCAUCGGCUAACUCCGUGCCAGCAGCCGCGGUAAUACGGAGGAUGCAAGCGUUAUCCGGAUUCAUUGGGUUUAAAGGGUGCGCAGGUUGGCUUUUAAGUCAGUGGUGAAAUGCUGCCGCUUAACGGUAGAAUUGCCAUUGAUACUGAGAGUCUUGAAUAUGGUUGAGGUAGGCGGAAUGUGUUGUGUAGCGGUGAAAUGCAUAGAUAUGACACAGAACACCGAUUGCGAAGGCAGCUUACUAAGCCAUUAUUGACGCUGAGGCACGAAAGCGUGGGGAGCGAACAGGAUUAGAUACCCCCGUAGUC